RNAcentral lists this ribosomal RNA (460 nucleotides) under uncultured bacterium. RNAcentral's name for it is "partial 16S ribosomal RNA". It matches the Rfam family "Bacterial small subunit ribosomal RNA", at positions 338 to 795 of the family's 1533-position model. The record is from RNAcentral.
CCUACGGGAGGCAGCAGUGAGGAAUAUUGGUCAAUGGGCGCGAGCCUGAACCAGCCAAGUCGCGUGAAGGAUGACUGCCCUACGGGUUGUAAACUUCUUUUCUAAGUGAAUAAAGUGAGGCACGUGUGCCUUUUUGCACGUACUUUAUGAAUAAGGAUCGGCUCACUCCGUGCCAGCAGCCGCGGUAAUACGGAGGAUCCGAGCGUUAUCCGGAUUUAUUGGGGUUAAAGGGAGCGUAGAUGGGUUGUUAAGUCAGUGGUGAAAGUUUGCGGCUCAACCGUAAAAUUGCAAUUGAUACUGGCAGCCUUGAGUACAGUUGAGGUAGGCGGAAUGCGUGGUGUAGCGGUGAAAUGCUUAGAUAUCACGAAGAACACCGAUUGCGAAGGCAGCUUACUAAACUGCAACUGACGUUGAGGCUCGAAAGUGUGGGUAGCAAACAGGAUUAGAUACCCCUGUAGUC